UACGUAGGGGGCAAGCGUUGUCCGGAUUUACUGGGCGUAAAGAGCUCGUAGGCGGUUUGUCGCGUCUGCCGUGAAAGUCCGGGGCUCAACUCCGGAUCUGCGGUGGGUACGGGCAGACUAGAGUGAUGUAGGGGAGACUGGAAUUCCUGGUGUAGCGGUGAAAUGCGCAGAUAUCAGGAGGAACACCGAUGGCGAAGGCAGGUCUCUGGGCAUUAACUGACGCUGAGGAGCGAAAGCAUGGGGAGCGAACAGG
RNAcentral lists this ribosomal RNA (253 nucleotides) under uncultured bacterium. RNAcentral describes it as "partial 16S ribosomal RNA". It matches the Rfam family "Bacterial small subunit ribosomal RNA", at positions 524 to 776 of the family's 1533-position model. The record is from RNAcentral.